UCUCAGGCUGCUGUGCGGCUGGUUGCAGAGGGCCAUUCUAGAAGAGUGGUUCGCUAAUCCAGGAGCCAAAUGGGAAAGGUCUGAAAGGCAGGGCUCAGGGUGAUUCAUCCAUUCAUCCAUCCAUUCAUUCGCGCAUUAAAGAAAUAUAUAUAUCAUAUAUGCAUUGGGGGGGCUAUCUGUGUACCAGGCAGGGUGGUAGGCUCUAGAGAUACAAUCUUGAGUAAGAUAAACAUGGUUCCCACCCUCCUAGAGCUCACAGUUGAGUAGAAGAGGCAGAUAAGUAGAUGGGCAAUUACAAUACACUGGUGGAUGAUGAGCAGGAGCUGUGGAGUCAAGAGCAGGGAUGGAAAAGACAAUAGAGGGAGCAGUAGUUCAAAACCAGAAGCUGGUUCAAAGAUCUCUAGGAGUUGCUACAUGGGCAUGGGGCCAUGGUUUCCAGCCAGGGGCACUUUUGUCCUCCAGGGCACGUUUGGCAAUGUCUGGAGAUAUUUUUGACUUCACAACUAGUGGGGGCAGGGGGUGGUGGUUAUGAGAGGGACUGAGGCACCGUUAGAAAGGUUUUCUCCCCAGUAAAAAGGGGCACAAAAGGAGACACAUCCUCAUCUUCUGCCUCUUAAUAUUAUGGAACAAUGUAAUGACUGGGGCUGUGGCUGCCAUCUUGUGAUCCUGAGGCGAUCAGCCUGAGGAAGAAAGCCAGCACACAGAGGACGGCAGAGGAAGUGGGGAGGACCUGGUUCUUGGUGAAGCUAUUGAGGAAGAACCAACCCUGAAGUCACCCUACCACCAGAGGAGACAGCUUGUGACUCAGGGCCAUACAUUCCUUGUAGCGUAAGCCAUCUUUGGUUGGGUCCUGUGUUACCCACAGCUCCAAGCCUCCUUGCCGGCGAAUUUCAUUCUGCUCCUCUGAAACCGGUUUUCACUGCCAUCUGCAAUAACCACGGCUGCCGUGCACAGGCACCACAUCUAAGACAUCAUACGUUUAUUAUUUAUUAUAGCAAUUUUCCCACAGAUGGCAGUAAAGUGUUUUGUUCUAAUAAAAUCAGUGUGUUACAGUAGUUUUCUGAUAGAAGUAAAUUACCUUGAGGAAGGGGCACCUUUUUCUAAUUCACACAAGGGCACAAUCUAGCCUUGGUGGUUAAAUCUGUGGGCGCUCACCCUUCACGACUCAGCUGUGGCUGACAGCACGGACGUUCUCUGCUUCUUGAUCAACCUUCUGUCUGUACCCAGCUUCUGUGAUACCACAGUCGCCUGGUGGUCCUCCUCUCCCUGUGGCUUGGCGUCCCUCUCUGUUCGUCUGUGAUGUUCCCCAGGUCUCUUUCCCUGGCGCUGUUCUCGUAUUGUAUGGCUCCUAGGCACCCUCACCUGCCCCACUUUCUCUGCCUUCUACAGGUGAAUGAACCCGGAAUCCCUCACUGUAGCCCAGUUUCUCCCCUCCGCUGCAGGCGCCUUAGUGUACUGCUUACGCACUGGCACUAUGAACUCAAACCCUCCCACUCAAAGUCUCCAUCCUCCACCCCAUUAUAAAACUCCUGCUCUAUUUUUCCCUCCACCCAUCUAGUCCCUGGAGCUGCACUUGUGGGAGGCAUCCUUGAGGCCUAUCGCCUCUUACUCCUCAUAUCCAACACAUCACCAAAUCCCACAAAUUCUGCUUCUUGAAUCUGAGUCAAGCUACUUCUUUUCCCAUUACCACCAUCUCCACUUAUGAUCAGGCCCCUAGCAGGCCAACGUCAUUGAAACCCAAAUGCUACUGCCUUUGGCCAUUCCUCUCUCUCAGAUCUGCGCCUCCAGGGCUGAAAUCACAUCUCAAUUCUUAAUGAGAUGUCUGCUUCCUUCACUGAAGGGACUUUACUAAGUGUUUCAUUGCAAGUUUUCUUUAAAUAGCCAGGCUCUCAGAGCCAUUUCAAAUAGGGUUUUAUGUUCCUAAAUUCAGUUAGUUCUCAACAUUUGAGACCAAUUCUUGCAGCAAGGUGGAGAAUAACUCUCAUCUGUGAAAGAAAAGCGGUUCAAUAAAGCUUGAUAAGCCUUUUGUAUCCGG
Molecule: long non-coding RNA, 2035 nt
Filed under: Homo sapiens (human)
Lineage: Eukaryota; Metazoa; Chordata; Mammalia; Primates; Hominidae
Description: non-protein coding lnc-DYSF-4:1
Source: RNAcentral